RNAcentral lists this long non-coding RNA (229 nucleotides) under Lathyrus oleraceus (garden pea). Its description in RNAcentral is "Pisum sativum (pea) long non-coding RNA (PSAT_LNC041840)". The record is from RNAcentral. Lineage: Eukaryota; Viridiplantae; Streptophyta; Magnoliopsida; Fabales; Fabaceae.
UUGGAGCAAGAAGAGAUGGAUAAGGUUGGUGAAACCAAGGAAACAGAUGCCCACACCUCAAGUGAGAGGUCUAAUUCUCAAGAUCAAUCUAGUGGCAGUUUUGGAUCUGAAGGUGAUGAAGAUGCUACCUCCUUAGACUUAGUUUUGGUGAUGAUGGUCCCCCUGUUUUAACGAUGUAUGUUCUAGAUGUUUGGAUGCUUGGAUGCUUUGAUGUUUUCUGAUGUUUGUG